RNAcentral lists this ribosomal RNA (356 nucleotides) under uncultured bacterium. Its description in RNAcentral is "bacterial SSU rRNA". It matches the Rfam family "Bacterial small subunit ribosomal RNA", at positions 8 to 353 of the family's 1533-position model. The record is from RNAcentral.
AGAGUUUGAUCCUGGCNCAGGAUGAACGCUAGCUACAGGCUUAACACAUGCAAGUCGAGGGGAAACGACAUCGAAAGCUUGCUUUUGAUGGGCGUCGACCGGCGCACGGGUGAGUAACGCGUAUCCAACCUGCCCACCACUUGGGGAUAACCUUGCGAAAGUAAGACUAAUACCCAAUGAUAUCUCUAGAAGACAUCUGAAAGAGAUUAAAGAUUUAUCGGUGAUGGAUGGGGAUGCGUCUGAUUAGCUUGUUGGCGGGGUAACGGCCCACCAAGGCGACGAUCAGUAGGGGUUCUGAGAGGAAGGUCCCCCACAUUGGAACUGAGACACGGUCCAAACACCUACGGGAGGCAGCA